UCUGUUUCAUGUCUGUGCGUUGUUCUGUAUUAUGUUUUCAUUUAUUUACGAAAUUAUUCCAACCCCAAACCUGCUUCCCGACUCCCAGCGCACACGUUGCACUUUAAAGGUAGCAUUUGACUAAGUCAUGCGAUCGAGGGCCGUUUUAAGGGGGACCAUGGUUUUGGUACAUCCUGUUCUUUUGGUAUCUGUCAAGGACACAGCUGUGUGGAGCCAAGGUUUAUGGCCAUGCUGGACCAGUACACCCCUAAGCUGUUGUCCUUAUUCCAAGGGAGUAGCACUUGGACACAGAUUGAGGGUCAUGCUGGAUGUCCUACUCCAGGACCGAAGCAGUACCCCCAUUAAGACCAGUGGAUUUGUUACUUAACCACCUGGCUGAAGAUGAGCCCUGAAUUACAGAAAAUAAAUGCAAGCAUAUAGUCAAAAUGACUCAUCAGUAAACGGGGUCUUCUAAGCAUUCCGAAUUGCCCUAGAGGCACCAAAACAUUACAUUUCUGAACAUUUAAGAUUGUUCCACUAAUGUCAAAAAAGCUGAUUUACCUAAGUUAGUAGAGACCAAAAGGUGUGGUAACUCGUAUGUUUAAAGUUUAGUAAUGUUAGGUACAGUGGAACUUUUUGAAAAAGUAUCAACCUACGUGACGAGGGCCAACCAACUUUCUGGUCGAGAAUGCAGUGAUGAGUGCUAAAACUGUUGCCUGUAAUAAAGUGCAUCUAACGG
Long non-coding RNA from Oncorhynchus kisutch (coho salmon), 718 nucleotides. RefSeq lists it as uncharacterized. The transcript is spliced from 3 exons. The record is from RefSeq and is a predicted model, not a curated record. Lineage: Eukaryota; Metazoa; Chordata; Actinopteri; Salmoniformes; Salmonidae.